CUGAGAAGUAAAGUUUACCCAGACCAUGUUUAAUCCUAUAAACACAAAUUUCUGUAAAUUCAAUAUUUAUUUGAGGCAGAUACGACAAAGAUCAGAUAACAAUGUGUAUCAUAAGUCAAUACGUGAUAAGUCAUGAGCUCUGCCAUGAGAUCAUAAUCACUGUUCACCUCAAUCAUAUAAACUCCAUGUGUCUGGAGGACGAAAGCACAGAGAGAGGGAACAGCAGCCUCUCACAUACAGCCUGGCACCCAUGGGUACCCUAACCAUGCUGCAAGUGUGGGUGCUGAGUGUGGCUGCAUUACUAAAUGGACUUUCAGCACAACAAACAGAUUAUGGCUUUUUUCUGGAUGCGACUACAACAGAGAUGAUAACACCAACAAACAGUGUCUAUUCUACCAACAACACGAAUCAUAGCUGAUAGCUAUGAGAGUCUUUACGGAAUCAACGUGGAUCACAACAUGCAGGUGUGCAGCACAUGGGGAAACUUCCACUUCAGUACAUUCGAUGGACAAUUCUUCCAACUGCCCUACACCUGCAACUACGUACUGACCACCCUGUGUGACAGCACCAAGACUGACUUUAACAUCCAAAUGAGGAGGCGGUAUAUCAAAAAUCUCCCCACCAUCAGCUCCUUCACCAUAAAGAUAGACGGGGUUGUAGUCAAGCUUCUUGAUGGGAACAUUACUAUGAAUGACCAGGCGUGAGUGUCUUUCACUAUAUUUAACACUCAUUUUUCCCUGAAAAAAACUUUUCAUCAUUUUAUUUAGAAAUGAACUCAUCUUAAGUUAUUUUUUGCAAUAAAACA
Colossoma macropomum (tambaqui) is the source of this 805-nucleotide long non-coding RNA. RefSeq lists it as uncharacterized. NCBI's taxonomy places the organism in Eukaryota, Metazoa, Chordata, Actinopteri, Characiformes, Serrasalmidae. The record is from RefSeq and is a predicted model, not a curated record. The transcript is spliced from 4 exons.